CUCGUAGUUGGAUUUCUGUUAAUAAUUUAUAUAAAAUAUUUUGAUGAAUAUUUAUAUAAUAUUAACAUAAUUCAUAUUACUAUAUAUUUUAGUAUAUGAAAUUUUACUUUGAGAAAAUUAGAGUGCUUA
This 129-nucleotide ribosomal RNA is filed under the name Cryptosporidium parvum. RNAcentral describes it as "partial 18S ribosomal RNA". The record is from RNAcentral. Lineage: Eukaryota; Apicomplexa; Conoidasida; Eucoccidiorida; Cryptosporidiidae.